This 253-nucleotide ribosomal RNA is filed under the name uncultured bacterium. RNAcentral describes it as "partial 16S ribosomal RNA". It matches the Rfam family "Bacterial small subunit ribosomal RNA", at positions 524 to 776 of the family's 1533-position model. The record is from RNAcentral.
UACGAAGGGGGCUAGCGUUGUUCGGAAUCACUGGGCGUAAAGCGCGCGUAGGCGGUCUAGCAAGUCAGAGGUGAAAUGCCGGGGCUUAACCCCGGAACUGCCUUUGAAACUGCUAGACUGGAAUCUUGGAGGGGGUAGUGGAAUUCCUAGUGUAGAGGUGAAAUUCGUAGAUACUAGGAGGAACACCGGUGGCGAAGGCGGCUACCUGGACAAGUAUUGACGCUGAGGCGCGAAAGCGUGGGGAGCAAACAGG